Molecule: transfer RNA, 74 nt
Filed under: bacterium
Lineage: Bacteria
Description: tRNA-Trp
Rfam family: tRNA
About the family: Transfer RNA (tRNA) molecules are approximately 80 nucleotides in length. Their secondary structure includes four short double-helical elements and three loops (D, anti-codon, and T loops).
Source: RNAcentral
GGGGGUGUCGUUCAAUGGCAGGACUUUGCUCUCCAAAAGCAAGUAUCCCCGUUCGAGUCGGGGCACCCCCGCCA